RNAcentral lists this ribosomal RNA (388 nucleotides) under uncultured bacterium. RNAcentral describes it as "bacterial SSU rRNA". It matches the Rfam family "Bacterial small subunit ribosomal RNA", at positions 28 to 417 of the family's 1533-position model. The record is from RNAcentral.
GACGAACGCUGGCGGCGUGCUUAACACAUGCAAGUCGAGCGGUAAGGCCCUUUCGGGGGUACACGAGCGGCGAACGGGUGAGUAACACGUGGGUGACCUGCCUUUAGCUCUGGGAUAAGCCUGGGAAACUGGGUCUAAUACCGGAUAUGACUCCGCGGUGCAUGCUGUGGGGUGGAAAGCCCUGUGCGGCUGGAGAUGGGCCCGCGGCCUAUCAGCUUGUUGGUGGGGUNAUGGCCUACCAAGGCGACGACGGGUAGCCGGCCUGAGAGGGCGACCGGCCACACUGGGACUGAGACACGGCCCAGACUCCUACGGGAGGCAGCAGUGGGGAAUCUUGCGCAAUGGGCGAAAGCCUGACGCAGCGACGCCGCGUGAGGGAUGACGGCCU